UUCCGUAGGUGAACCUGCGGAGGGAUCAUUACCGAGUUUACAACUCCCAAACCCCUGUGAACAUACCUAUUGUUGCUUCGGCGGGAUCGCCCCGGCGCCCUCGGKYCCGGACCCAGGCGCCCGCCGGAGGACCCAAACUCUUGUCUUUCAUGAGUAUCUUCUGAGUAACAUAAGCAAAUAAAUUAAAACUUUCAACAACGGAUCUCUUGGUUCUGGCAUCGAUGAAGAACGCAGCGAAAUGCGAUAAGUAAUGUGAAUUGCAGAAUUCCGUGAAUCAUCGAAUCUUUGAACGCACAUUGCGCCCGCCAGUAUUCUGGCGGGCAUGCCUGUUCGAGCGUCAUUUCAACCCUCAAGCCCCCGGGCUUGGUGUUGGGGAUCGGCCGCCCUCUCCGGCGCGCCGGCCCCGAAAUCUAGUGGCGGUCUCGCUGUAGCCUCCUCUGCGUAGUAGCACACCUCGCACAMGGARCGCAGCCUGGCCACGCCGUUAAACCCCCCACUUCUGAAGGUUGACCUCGGAUCAGGUAGRAAUACCCGCUGAACUUAAGCAUAUCAAUAAGCGGAGGA
RNAcentral lists this ribosomal RNA (564 nucleotides) under Acremonium sp. E-000535647. Its description in RNAcentral is "eukaryotic LSU rRNA". The stretch from base 187 to 340 matches the Rfam family "5.8S ribosomal RNA". The record is from RNAcentral. Lineage: Eukaryota; Fungi; Ascomycota; Sordariomycetes; Hypocreales; Bionectriaceae.